RNAcentral lists this ribosomal RNA (1372 nucleotides) under uncultured bacterium. RNAcentral describes it as "bacterial SSU rRNA". It matches the Rfam family "Bacterial small subunit ribosomal RNA", at positions 28 to 1381 of the family's 1533-position model. The record is from RNAcentral.
GAUGAACGCUGGCGGCGUGCCUAAUACAUGCAAGUCGAGCGAACGGACGAGAAGCUUGCUUCUCUGAUGUUAGCGGCGGACGGGUGAGUAACACGUGGAUAACCUACCUAUAAGACUGGGAUAACUUCGGGAAACCGGAGCUAAUACCGGAUAAUAUUUUGAACCGCAUGGUUCAAAAGUGAAAGACGGUCUUGCUGUCACUUAUAGAUGGAUCCGCGCUGCAUUAGCUAGUUGGUAAGGUAACGGCUUACCAAGGCAACGAUGCAUAGCCGACCUGAGAGGGUGAUCGGCCACACUGGAACUGAGACACGGUCCAGACUCCUACGGGAGGCAGCAGUAGGGAAUCUUCCGCAAUGGGCGAAAGCCUGACGGAGCAACGCCGCGUGAGUGAUGAAGGUCUUCGGAUCGNUAAACUCUGUUAUUAGGGAAGAACAUAUGUGUAAGUAACUGUGCACAUCUUGACGGUACCUAAUCAGAAAGCCACGGCUAACUACGUGCCAGCAGCCGCGGUAAUACGUAGGUGGCAAGCGUUAUCCGGAAUUAUUGGGCGUAAAGCGCGCGUAGGCGGUUUUUUAAGUCUGAUGUGAAAGCCCACGGCUCAACCGUGGAGGGUCAUUGGAAACUGGAAAACUUGAGUGCAGAAGAGGAAAGUGGAAUUCCAUGUGUAGCGGUGAAAUGCGCAGAGAUAUGGAGGAACACCAGUGGCGAAGGCGACUUUCUGGUCUGUAACUGACGCUGAUGUGCGAAAGCGUGGGGAUCAAACAGGAUUAGAUACCCUGGUAGUCCACGCCGUAAACGAUGAGUGCUAAGUGUUAGGGGGUUUCCGCCCCUUAGUGCUGCAGCUAACGCAUUAAGCACUCCGCCUGGGGAGUACGACCGCAAGGUUGAAACUCAAAGGAAUUGACGGGGACCCGCACAAGCGGUGGAGCAUGUGGUUUAAUUCGAAGCAACGCGAAGAACCUUACCAAAUCUUGACAUCCUUUGACAACUCUAGAGAUAGAGCCUUCCCCUUCGGGGGACAAAGUGACAGGUGGUGCAUGGUUGUCGUCAGCUCGUGUCGUGAGAUGUUGGGUUAAGUCCCGCAACGAGCGCAACCCUUAAGCUUAGUUGCCAUCAUUAAGUUGGGCACUCUAAGUUGACUGCCGGUGACAAACCGGAGGAAGGUGGGGAUGACGUCAAAUCAUCAUGCCCCUUAUGAUUUGGGCUACACACGUGCUACAAUGGACAAUACAAAGGGCAGCGAAACCGCGAGGUCAAGCAAAUCCCAUAAAGUUGUUCUCAGUUCGGAUUGUAGUCUGCAACUCGACUACAUGAAGCUGGAAUCGCUAGUAAUCGUAGAUCAGCAUGCUACGGUGAAUACGUUCCCGGGUCU